AGCGUAUAUUAAAGUUGUUGCAGUUAAAAAGCUCGUAGUUGAAUUUCGGGAUCAAUACGUCGGUCGUGCUUCGGUACGUACUGGCGUCAUUGAUUUCUCCCUUCUGACGAACCAUGAUGUCAUUAACUUGGUGUCAUGGGAAAUCAGGACUGUUACUUUGAAAAAAUUAGAGUGUUUAAAGCAGGCUCACGCUUGAAUACAUUAGCAUGGAAUAAUGAAAUAGGACGUUUGAUUCUAUUUUGUUGGUUUCUAGGAUCGACGUAAUGAUUAAUAGGGAUAGUUGGGGGCAUUAGUAUUCAAUUGUCAGAGGUGAAAUUCUUGGAUUUAUUGAAGACUAACUACUGCGAAAGCAUUUGCCAAGGAUGUUUUCAUUAAUCAAGAACGAAAGUUAGGGGAUCGAAGACGAUCAGAUACCGUCGUAGUCUUAACCAUAAACUAUGCCGACUAGGGAUCGGAUGAUGU
This 462-nucleotide ribosomal RNA is filed under the name uncultured Glomus. Its description in RNAcentral is "SSU rRNA". It matches the Rfam family "Eukaryotic small subunit ribosomal RNA", at positions 596 to 1063 of the family's 1831-position model. Lineage: Eukaryota; Fungi; Glomeromycota; Glomeromycetes; Glomerales; Glomeraceae. The record is from RNAcentral.